Molecule: long non-coding RNA, 1573 nt
Organism: Osmerus eperlanus (European smelt)
Lineage: Eukaryota; Metazoa; Chordata; Actinopteri; Osmeriformes; Osmeridae
Exons: 3
Source: RefSeq, a predicted model, not a curated record
AGAUGGUUGAGAGGAUAUAUCAGUCCAACACAUCUAGUUAUUCUAACAGUAUUCUCUGUUCUCUUUUAGAGGUAAACACUUGAAAAAUGUACACAGUAUUUAUUCAGACGUACCUCUGCUCUGUACCAGUUCAUGGCGGAGUUGACGAAGAGAAAGCAACGAGACUGGUACCGGAUCCAGCCGUCAGGACAGUAGCCAAAGCGUUCCUCUACCAGGACGGAAGAACCCACAACAUUAACUACUGCCUUAUCUUGCUACAUACUGGUAUAGUAUAGUGUAGUAUGGUAGAGUAGAGUGGGUCGAGUAGAAUAAUUGUAUAGUUGUAUUAUAUUAGGUUAGUUAGCGCAAUUCAGUCCAAGACUAGAACAAACCUAACAUUUAGGAAUACUGUACAGUUCUGUCAUAGAUAUUAUAUUGUAAGGGAAGUUAUUAUUCUUUAUAUAGCAUUAAAAUGUUGUACCUUGUGGAUCAUGCUCUGCCAAGUCCAUCUCUAACAGAGUAGAGGAAGAAGAUAGUCAGCAGUGAAACAAACUAGGUCUGCAUAACACACUGAAAAGCUUGGCUGGAUCUCUGUUUUUGGGCAUCCCAAGUGAAUGGAACAACAUCAUGAAAGUUUCAGAAGAUAAAGUUACCGAGGACUGUGUCUCUCUCCUCUGGGAACGUCUCCAGCUCCAUCUGAUUCUCCACCUCCAUCUUCUUCACUUCCUCCACCUCGACAGGCUCCUCCAGCUUCUCUUUCAGCACCAUAUCCUCCACUAAAGAAACACGAAACACAGAUUAUUCAUCACAAUGUUGCAUUGUCUCUUUUUAUCUCCUCAGACCUUGGUAUCGAUGUUAAUAAAUAGACUGAGCCGUUUGGAAGCAACAGUGAGGAUCACAAACCUGGAACAGGAGCCUUUUUCUCUUCCUCGACAGGAACUAUAAAACCACAAAAGCACAACUUCACUUCACCGUUCUGAUGAAUCUGCUCCACUACAGUUCUACCACUACAGGUGAAUAUAGCCCAGUGUGUGUGUAUGUGUGUGUGUGUUUAGGCAGAUAGAUGCACACCCACCUGCGGCAGCUCUGACUGAGAGAGCCACACAGAGUAGCAGAGACAAAACUACUAGAAGCUUCAUGGUGAAGAUGAGGAUCUUAAAGGACUUCUAGAGACAGAAAAAGAGAACAAGGAAUGUGUCAGCAGGUGGUCCCUUCUGCUCUUACAAAUACCAACAUUUGGACGAAUAUAGUUGACAGAGAAACAGAGAGAGAAAGAGAGAGAGAGAUAAGUCCAAACGUAGCAGUUAUCUCACCUGUCAGAAGAAUCACAGAUUUUGUUUUACUCAGGUUGUCUUCGUUUGGUGUUCAGUUGAAGUGAUGAUGCAGGAGAAGGCUGACUGGCUGUUUAUAUACAGUCAGGACUAAGACUUUUUAUGGUCAUGACGCAAGUGCUGUAUCCUCAAUCUCCAUGUGAAACAUGAAAACAAGAACUUUGUAACUUGGAGAUUUGGAAAUGUCCAGUGUAUAUCAUUUACUGUGUCAUUUUUACAAUUAUUAUUGGAGUUGGAGGUUAAUGACCUAAGAAGUUGUUUGU